GAUGAACGCUAGCUACAGGCUUAACACAUGCAAGUCGAGGGGCAGCAUGGUCUUAGCUUGCUAAGGCCGAUGGCGACCGGCGCACGGGUGAGUAACACGUAUCCAACCUGCCGUCUACUCUUGGACAGCCUUCUGAAAGGAAGAUUAAUACAAGAUGGCAUCAUGAGUCCACAUGUUCACAUGAUUAAAGGUAUUCCGGUAGACGAUGGGGAUGCGUUCCAUUAGAUAGUAGGCGGGGUAACGGCCCACCUAGUCUUCGAUGGAUAGGGGUUCUGAGAGGAAGGUCCCCCACAUUGGAACUGAGACACGGUCCAAACUCCUACGGGAGGCAGCAGUGAGGAAUAUUGGUCAAUGGGCGAGAGCCUGAACCAGCCAAGUAGCGUGAAGGAUGACUGCCCUAUGGGUUGUAAACUUCUUUUAUAAAGGAAUAAAGUCGGGUAUGGAUACCCGUUUGCAUGUACUUUAUGAAUAAGGAUCGGCUAACUCCGUGCCAGCAGCCGCGGUAAUACGGAGGAUCCGAGCGUUAUCCGGAUUUAUUGGGUUUAAAGGGAGUGUAGAUGGAUGUUUAAGUCAGUUGUGAAAGUUUGCGGCUCAACCGUAAAAUUGCAGUUGAUACUGGAUAUCUUGAGUGCAGUUGAGGCAGGCGGAAUUCGUGGUGUAGCGGUGAAAUGCUUAGAUAUCACGAAGAACUCCGAUUGCGAAGGCAGCCUGCUAAGCUGCAACUGACAUUGAGGCUCGAAAGUGUGGGUAUCAAACAGGAUUAGAUACCCUGGUAGUCCACACGGUAAACGAUGAAUACUCGCUGUUUACGAUAUACAGCAAGCGGCCAAGCGAAAGCGUUAAGUAUUCCACCUGGGGAGUACGCCGGCAACGGUGAAACUCAAAGGAAUUGACGGGGGCCCGCACAAGCGGAGGAACAUGUGGUUUAAUUCGAUGAUACGCGAGGAACCUUACCCGGGCUUAAAUUGCAGAUGAAUUACGGUGAAAGCCGUAAGCCGCAAGGCAUCUGUGAAGGUGCUGCAUGGUUGUCGUCAGCUCGUGCCGUGAGGUGUCGGCUUAAGUGCCAUAACGAGCGCAACCCUUGUUGUCAGUUACUAACAGGUUCCGCUGAGGACUCUGACAAGACUGCCAUCGUAAGAUGUGAGGAAGGUGGGGAUGACGUCAAAUCAGCACGGCCCUUACGUCCGGGGCUACACACGUGUUACAAUGGGGGGUACAGAGGGCCGCUACCACGCGAGUGGAUGCCAAUCCCAAAAACCUCUCUCAGUUCGGACUGGAGUCUGCAACCCGACUCCACGAAGCUGGAUUCGCUAGUAAUCGCGCAUCAGCCACGGCGCGGUGAAUACGUUCCCGGGCCU
This 1358-nucleotide ribosomal RNA is filed under the name uncultured bacterium. RNAcentral describes it as "bacterial SSU rRNA". It matches the Rfam family "Bacterial small subunit ribosomal RNA", at positions 28 to 1381 of the family's 1533-position model. The record is from RNAcentral.